AUUGGUUUAAUUUGAGUAAAGUUAGUUGCUUUUUGUGGAUUUGUGGUGAUGCAGAGGCUGGGCUUAAAGUUCAGUACAUUGCGGUGUAUGAUAUAACAUACUCCAUCGACUUAGGUUUGCAAAAUUUCUGGCGGUUGUGGCCCAGGAGCUUGAUUUAGUUCAUUUUUUUGUGUAUUUUUUGUUUGGUGAAUUUUGGGGGUCGGAUUGGUGUUUUAUCUACAUUUGCUUUGUUUUGGUAGUGCAAACAAUUUCUUGCUGGUCUACUUGAGCACGGCAGACUUACACAGCAACAAUUAAUGGACAGAGCCAAUCAGAAAUCCAAAUCAAAUAGCAGUCAAGGUAUUGCUUUAAUGUUUGACCUAUUUGAUAUCGGAAAAUGAUGAAUUCAAUAGUGUUCUUUUGUGGGAAGGAAAAGAGAAUUUAAUGGGAUGUUGUGAUUAAAUGUACUUUUUUUUUUUUGUGCUCUCCAUGCCUAUACAUGCUAUUUUCUAUUGGGGAUAGUAAGUACUGUUUCUGGGUUUUCUUUCUGCAGUUCAGAAUGCUGCUCAAGAUAACUUUGUUAGACUUGUGACUGCUCGUUUUGUUGAAUGUUGCCCGGCCCCUGAACCACUUCUUGAAGAAGCACCUGAACAAGAAGGUCCAAAGAAGCCACGCUCUAAAUCUGCUAAGGAAUUAUGACCACAAUAUUAUUGGCACUUCUUCAUAUAAACAGAGGGCAUGCCAAUAUUAUUACUGAAAUGGCGGAGGUAUUCGGCGGUGGCGACGAGGUGUUGCGAUUGAGAAUUGGAGCUGAGCACGCCAUUGUUUACAUCGACAGAGCCUCUGUAGGGAUUUGAAGGAGAUAGGACUUGACCUUGGCUGCGAUUUUUCAUCUCCGCCUGUGCAGGUCAGUCCAGACCUCUAUGGUGACAGCAACACGAUGUCAAUAUACUUGUCUGGAAGGUAAAAUCAUAGUAGUUGCUACUUCCAGUUAGGUUUUUAUUUUUAGGACUGCAACUUGGUGAGGCACAAGAAGUUGUUAUGGGUUAUUUAGUACUAUGGACUGAACCCUUGCUUUUAGGACAACUUGGUGAGGCACAAGGAAGUUAUUAUGGGUUUAGUUCAGUUCAUAUAGGGAUGUGAGUCUUGUGACAA
This is a long non-coding RNA of Rosa rugosa (rugosa rose), 1134 nucleotides long. RefSeq lists it as uncharacterized. The record is from RefSeq and is a predicted model, not a curated record. The transcript is spliced from 3 exons. Lineage: Eukaryota; Viridiplantae; Streptophyta; Magnoliopsida; Rosales; Rosaceae.